UACAGAGGUGGCAAGCGUUGUUCGGAAUUACUGGGCGUAAAGGGCGCGUAGGCGGUUCGUUAAGUCCUGUGUGAAAUCCCCCGGCUCAACUGGGGAACUGCACAGGAAACUAGCGGGCUUGAGUUCGGGAGAGGGAAGCGGAAUUCCGGGUGUAGCGGUGAAAUGCGUAGAUAUCCGGAGGAACACCGGUGGCGAAGGCGGCUUCCUGGACCGACACUGACGCUGAGGCGCGAAAGCUAGGGGAGCGAAUGGG
Molecule: ribosomal RNA, 253 nt
Filed under: uncultured bacterium
Lineage: Bacteria
Description: partial 16S ribosomal RNA
Rfam family: Bacterial small subunit ribosomal RNA
Source: RNAcentral